This 420-nucleotide ribosomal RNA is filed under the name uncultured bacterium. Its description in RNAcentral is "bacterial SSU rRNA". It matches the Rfam family "Bacterial small subunit ribosomal RNA", at positions 917 to 1341 of the family's 1533-position model. The record is from RNAcentral.
GGGUCCGCACAAGCGGUGGAGCAUGUGGUUUAAUUCGAUGAUACGCGAGGAACCUUACCUAGGCUCGAAUGCGAGUGCUACCUGCUGAAAAGCGGGGUUUCUUCGGAACACAAAGCAAGGUGCUGCAUGGUUGUCGUCAGCUCGUGCCGUGAGGUGUUGGGUUAAGUCCCGCAACGAGCGCAACCCUUAUUGCUAGUUGCCAGCAUUUAGUUGGGGACUCUAGCAAGACUGCCGGCGCAAGCCGUGAGGAAGGUGGGGAUGACGUCAAAUCAUCAUGGCCUUUAUGCCUAGGGCUACACACGUGCUACAAUGGACGAGACAAAGGGUCGCUAACCCGCAAGGGGGUGCUAAUCUUUAAAACCGGUCUCAGUUCGGAUAGGAGUCUGCAACUCGACUCCUUGAAGUUGGAGUCGCUAGUAA